UGGCGUAGUGCGCAAAGCCUCGGCCUGCUAAGCCGAAGGUCCCGGGUUCGAUCCCCGG
This 58-nucleotide transfer RNA is filed under the name Habropoda laboriosa. It matches the Rfam family "tRNA", at positions 8 to 63 of the family's 71-position model. From Rfam's summary of the family: Transfer RNA (tRNA) molecules are approximately 80 nucleotides in length. Their secondary structure includes four short double-helical elements and three loops (D, anti-codon, and T loops). Lineage: Eukaryota; Metazoa; Arthropoda; Insecta; Hymenoptera; Apidae. The record is from Rfam by way of RNAcentral.